AUUUGAGGCACAACUUUUACUGGAGUUCAGACGUGUUAUCUUAUCUUUUUGUGCUUUUAAAAAGAGUAAUUAAAAAAAUAAAAAAAGAAAAACAGGAUAUUUUCAGAAGCAUCUGAACUGCUUGCGAAAACCAUUCUCCUCCUAAAAUGUAAGAGACAACGAGGGGGAAGAGAAAGGCAGAGGAGGGAGGGAAAGAUGAACAAGGCAGGGUGAUGAAAGGCAUUCUAGUAAAGGGAAUGACAUGUCAGCAGGUAUCUAGGGCUCUUGUGGAAAGUGUGAUUUCAUUCUUGGCAAUGCAAGUACCACCUACCACAGGCUGGUGACAUCUGGAAAAGGGAAGGCAACAUUGAAAAGAAGUUUUGUUUGGGGGCGAUUUGCUGCAGCAGGUAAGGAUUGUGCUGGUCUGCUUCAAGAGGCUGGGAAAUCCCCACCCCCAGUGCUGGAGAGGGGCUUGGAACCAUCACCCAGGAUUAGCUAGAAAUGAGUAGUUUGACAAAAGCAGAAAAGC
Cygnus olor (mute swan) is the source of this 508-nucleotide long non-coding RNA. RefSeq lists it as uncharacterized. NCBI's taxonomy places the organism in Eukaryota, Metazoa, Chordata, Aves, Anseriformes, Anatidae. The record is from RefSeq and is a predicted model, not a curated record. The transcript has 3 exons.